GCCGGGCGCGGUGGCUCACGCCUGUAAUCCCAGCACUUUGGGAGGCUGAGGCGGGUGGAUCACUUGAGGUCAGGAGUUCCUAACCAGCCUGGUCAACAUGGUGAAACCCCGUCUCUA
Non-coding RNA from Homo sapiens (human), 117 nucleotides. It matches the Rfam family "Metazoan signal recognition particle RNA". From Rfam's summary of the family: The signal recognition particle (SRP) is a universally conserved ribonucleoprotein. The record is from Rfam. Lineage: Eukaryota; Metazoa; Chordata; Mammalia; Primates; Hominidae.